Molecule: small RNA, 785 nt
Filed under: Aggregatibacter actinomycetemcomitans
Lineage: Bacteria; Pseudomonadati; Pseudomonadota; Gammaproteobacteria; Pasteurellales; Pasteurellaceae
Description: small regulatory RNA JA01
Rfam family: Aggregatibacter sRNA JA01 (bases 451-603)
Source: RNAcentral
AUAACCAUGGGCAUUUGGAUAAUCUGAUUUUCUAAUACAAUUCCAAAAAUCUUUAUGAUAAAGAUCACUAAGUGUUGCGACUUGCUGACCGCUAAAUAAUAGCCAACUGGCUAAGCAGUUUAAAUCCUUAUAACUAUCAAAUAGUUCGAUUUCUUUGGAUGGUUUUCAAGGCACUAUAACUAUAUGUACAAUUACUGUCAAAAAUGAUUUUAAGGUUAUCGGCACAAGUGCACUGGUAAGUAAGUAAAACUACAAUACAGAGAUCUGUAAACAGAUCGCUUAUCAAAAUUUGAUAAAUUGUGAUAGCUAGAGGAGUAUUUAUUAAAACAGCGUAUUUAUGAACAAUGUGACUAAAAAGUUAUUCUACGCAAGGUUGGUUUAUUUACUUAAGCCGAUUUUGCAAAAUAUUAACUGUUGAAGAUAAUAUGAUAAUGAGUUAUCUAACUAUAUGAUGAUAUACCAAAAUGGUUUAUUUUAUUUUGAUGUAGAAAUUGAAUUUGAUAUAGUGCGUAGAUAACAAAUAAAAGUUCUUUAUCAAAUAAAAAAUUAGUAUAACUAUACCUUAUUUCAAAAUGAAGGAGGUAUAGUACCAUCUCAAUAUUUGCAUGAAUCUAAAGACGAAAAUUAUGUAAAUAAAACCGCGACUUUACAAUAUUGUGGAUUACUUAUCAUGUUGCCUGCUUAGAUAUAUUAACACUCUAAAAAAUGUUAUUUUGGGGUGCAGAUCAAAGUGCGGUCAAAAAGCACAAUGGAUUUUGACCGCACUUUUUCGUAUUAAGGAAUUA